UACGAAGGGGGCUAGCGUUGUUCGGAAUUACUGGGCGUAAAGCGCACGUAGGCGGAUUGUUAAGUUAGGGGUGAAAUCCCAGGGCUCAACCCUGGAACUGCCUUUAAUACUGGCAAUCUCGAGUCCGAGAGAGGUGAGUGGAAUUCCGAGUGUAGAGGUGAAAAUUCGUAGAUAUUCGGAGGAACACCAGUGGCGAAGGCGGACUCACUGGCUCGGUACUGACGCUGAGGUGCGAAAGCGUGGGGAGCAAACAGGG
This 256-nucleotide ribosomal RNA is filed under the name uncultured bacterium. RNAcentral describes it as "partial 16S ribosomal RNA". It matches the Rfam family "Bacterial small subunit ribosomal RNA", at positions 524 to 777 of the family's 1533-position model. The record is from RNAcentral.